AGCAUAGUUGGUAGAGCAUGGUGUUUGCAACGCCAGGGUUGUGGGUUUGAAUCCCAC
This 57-nucleotide transfer RNA is filed under the name Salmo salar (Atlantic salmon). It matches the Rfam family "tRNA", at positions 9 to 63 of the family's 71-position model. From Rfam's summary of the family: Transfer RNA (tRNA) molecules are approximately 80 nucleotides in length. Their secondary structure includes four short double-helical elements and three loops (D, anti-codon, and T loops). Further hydrogen bonds mediate the characteristic L-shaped molecular structure. tRNAs have two regions of fundamental functional importance: the anti-codon, which is responsible for specific mRNA codon recognition, and the 3' end, to which the tRNAs corresponding amino acid is attached (by aminoacyl-tRNA synthetases). tRNAs cope with the degeneracy of the genetic code in two manners: having more than one tRNA (with a specific anti-codon) for a particular amino acid; and 'wobble' base-pairing, i.e. permitting non-standard base-pairing at the 3rd anti-codon position. The record is from Rfam by way of RNAcentral. Lineage: Eukaryota; Metazoa; Chordata; Actinopteri; Salmoniformes; Salmonidae.